RNAcentral lists this ribosomal RNA (497 nucleotides) under uncultured bacterium. Its description in RNAcentral is "partial 16S ribosomal RNA". It matches the Rfam family "Bacterial small subunit ribosomal RNA", at positions 28 to 507 of the family's 1533-position model. The record is from RNAcentral.
GAUGAACGCUGGCGGCGUGCCUAAUACAUGCAAGUCGAGCGAACAGACGAGGAUCUUGCUCCUCUGACGUUAGCGGCGGACGGGUGAGUAACACGUGUAGAACCUACCUAUAAUACUGGGAUAACUUCGGGAAACCGGAGCUAAUACCGUAGAAUAUAUUGAACCGCAUUGGGCAAUGGUGAAAUACGGUGUUUCUGUCACUUAUAGAGGGAUCCGCGCCGCAUUGGAUAGUUGUUAAGUUAACGGCUUACCAAGGCAACGAGGCGUAGCCGACCUGUGGGGCGGAUCGGCCACCUGGGAGCUGGAACACGGUCAAGAGUACUACGGGAGGGAGCAGAAGGGAACCUUACGCAAUGGGCGAAAGCAUGACGGAGCAACGCGGCGCGAGUGACGACGGUCUUCGGAUCGUAAUAAUCUGUUACUAGGGAAGAACAACUGUGGAAGUAAACAUGCACGUCUUGACGGUAACUAAUAAGAAAGCAACGGCUAACUACGUG